RNAcentral lists this long non-coding RNA (1336 nucleotides) under Marmota monax (woodchuck). The record is from RNAcentral. Lineage: Eukaryota; Metazoa; Chordata; Mammalia; Rodentia; Sciuridae.
AAUUAGGUUAACCCACAUACUUAAAGUAAUAAAUCAUUUUGAGAUAACUUACUUUUAAGAAAUACUUUAUUCAAAAAUACUGAAAGGUUAUGUUGUCACUAUAACAGAUUCAUUGCUUAUUAAUUGUGUCUGGAAUUAUUAUAAAGACACAGAAUAAUAUAGUAUUUGGGCAUUUUAUGGUGACCUAUUUUAUAGCAGCAGAAAUAUGAAAGAAUGAAAUCAGAAAUAAAUCCUGAGAGAUUUACACUGCAAAAGGACCUUUUAAUCUAUUACAUGUUGUACCAUGUAAAUAUUUUAAAGUGAUUCUGAGGCAGUCCUGACCUGAUUUCUGGAUCUUUGCCAGUGUCACAAUGGAAAGUCCAGAAGUCUGCCAGUGCCUUGUAGCCCUGGCUCUGAGGUACCAGUGGAGCAAAGGGGAGGACUCAAGGGUUACCGUAUUGCUAACAAAACCUUGAAGAUAUUGCAAGAGCCUUUUCAGAUGGUCUUUUCUUUCUUUCUGCAUAAAUUAUGAGCCUUCUGGCUCUGCAGAUAUAAAGACAAAUGGCACAGUUUCUGUCUCCAGAACUAAAAGUCUAUUGGGGAAGAUAGUCACACAAACAGCCAACUGUAAGACAGAUGACAAAGACUGUUCUAAAGUUUGUGGACUAAGGACCAGGUGAGCAGAGGAGAUGGGAUGUUUAAUUCUGUUGACCAGGCUGGAUGUAGAGGACAGAAUGGGGUGAGAUUAGUGAGGGUUUGAGAGAAGACAUUAAAAUAGAAUCUUGAAGGAUUUCCUCUGAAAGUAAGGGGAUGGUAUAGUCAGGGCAGAAAGUUUUCUAGAGCAAUAGAACACAGAAGUCUGAGCUUAGUUGAGUGUAGAAAGAGAAAAAGUCUUGCAUGGUUAGAUGUGGGAACCAAAUGGGAGAGUAGAAAGACAGUUCCAUUGUACAGAACUCAGUUCCCAAUCAUCAGAGAGAGGAAACAGAGAUGCAGAAAAUUUUGAUGAUCUGUUAAAAGUUAGCGAAGAUAAGAGUGCAGAGAGUAAUUGAAAAGUAUGCAAAGGGAGAAAAUGAUUUUGGGGGGUACAAAGAAGGACAAAACUUCAUGUUUCCUGGGAGUAUGAAUGAUUUUAGCCUGCAGGUGUCAGAAAAUAUAUGAAUGAGGGCCUGUCAUUGCAAAAAUGUUGAAAAAAGUGGGACUUUAACGGGAGACACUGACAUGUUGAUGUGGAUGAAGUGGGCCUGGGGCUUGUGGCCUCCUUUUGUGGUCUUACACAGGAUUGCUAUUUUUCAGUUCCCAGUUUCGGCAUUUUUGUUUUGAGAUUUGUUUUAGUGAUUCUUUUCUAGCACGUGUUCAG